Sapajus apella (tufted capuchin) is the source of this 1533-nucleotide RNA transcript. It is a transcript of the gene named serine/threonine-protein kinase VRK1 pseudogene, with no coding region annotated. NCBI's taxonomy places the organism in Eukaryota, Metazoa, Chordata, Mammalia, Primates, Cebidae. The record is from RefSeq and is a predicted model, not a curated record. The transcript has a single exon.
AAUCCACCCACCUUGGUCUCCCAACAUGCUAGGAUUACAGGCAUGAGCCACCAUGUCUGGCCAAUGAGGGCAUCUUUCUAAUGGGAAAAGAAGUACAAUUAAUCCGGGUGAAAGCAGUGAGAAGUUCGUACUGGGCAGAAGACAACGGGUCUGUGGCUUGGGUGAAAAUGCCUCGUGUAAAAGCAGCUCAAGCUGGAAGACAGGCAGGGCCCUGCAAAGAGACAUCUUGCAGAACAAUUUGCAGCUGGGGAGAUAAUAACUGACAUGGCAAAAAAGGAAUGGAAAGUAGGAUUACCCAUUGGCCAAGGAGGCUUCGUAUGUAUAUAUCUUGCUGAUAUGAAUUCUUCAGGGUCAACUGGAAGUGAUGCACCUUGCGUUGUAAAAGUGGAACCCAGUGACAAUGGACCUGUUUUUACUGAAUUAAAGUUUUACCGACAAGCUGCAAAACCAGAGCAAAUUCAGAAAUGGAUUUGUACCCAUAAGCUGAAGUACCUGGGCUUUCCUAAGUACUGGGGGUCUGGUCUACAUGACAAAAAUGGAAAAAGUUACAGGUUUAUGAUAAUGGAUCACUUUGGUAGUGAGCUUCAGAAAAUAUAUGAGGCAAAUGCCAAAAGGUUUUCUCGAAAACUGUCCUGCAGCUAAGCUUAAGAAGUCUGGAUAUUCUGGAAUAUAUUCACAAGCAUGAGUAUGUGCAUGGAGGUAUCAAGGCCUCAAAUCUUCUGAGCUGCAAGAAUCCUGACCAGGGGUACUUGCUAGAUUAUGGCCUUGCUUAUCGGUACUGCCCAGAAGGAGUUAAUAAAGAAUACAAACAAGACCCCAAAAGAUGUCACGAUGGCACUAUUGAAUUCACAAGCAUUGAUGCACACCAUGGCGUGGCCCCAUCAAGACCUGGCGAUUUGGAAACACUUGGUUAUUGCAUGAUCCAAUGGCUUACUGGCCAUCUUCCUUGGGAGGAUAAUUUGAAAGAUCCUAAAUAUGUUACAGAUUCCAAAAUUAGAUAUAGAAAAAAUAUUGCAAGUUUGAUGGACAAAUGUUUUCCUGAGAAAAACCAGGUGAAAUUGCCAAAUACAUGGAAACAGUGAAAUUACUAGACUACACUGAAAACACUUUAUCAAAAUAUAUGCGAUAUUCUUUUGCAAGGACUAAAAGCUAUAGGAAGUAAGAAUGAUGGCAAAUUGGACCUCAGUGUUGUGGAGAAUGGAAGUUUGAAAGCAAAAACAGUAACAAAGUGAAAGAAAGAAAUAGAAGAAAGCAAGGAAUCUGGUGUUGAAGAUAUGGAAUGCUCAAGUCCACAGAGGAGCCCACACAGACCCACCCGUUCAAGAACCAGAAAGAGAGCCCAGAAGUACUUCAGAUGCUGUGAACCAGCUUUUCUUUUUUUUGUUUUCUUUUGAUUUUUUCUUCUUUUCUAUUUGAAGUGUUUUAUUUUCAUGUGAGUCUUGCGAGGUGGAAGUAAUAAUUAAAUACCUGUGUGUUCAGAAAAUAUAAACUUUUUAAUAAAUAUUUUGUACAAUUAAAAGAAGUAGAAUUAAU